UGAGGAAUAUUGGUCAAUGGUCGGAAGACUGAACCAGCCAUGCCGCGUGAAGGAAGAAUGCCUUAUGGGUUGUAAACUUCUUUUGUACGGGAACAAUAAGGAAUACGUGUAUUCCGAUGCGGGUACCGUACGAAUAAGCAUCGGCUAACUCCGUGCCAGCAGCCGCGGUAAUACGGAGGAUGCGAGCGUUAUCCGGAUUUAUUGGGUUUAAAGGGUGCGUAGGCUGGCUUAUAAGUCAGAGGUGAAACCCCACGGCUUAACUGUGGAAUUGCCUUUGAUACUGUAGGUCUUGAGUACUUUUGAGGCAGGCGGAAUGUGCAGUGUAGCGGUGAAAUGCUUAGAUAUUGCACAGAACACCGAUUGCGAAGGCAGCUUGCUAAGAAGAUACUGACGCUGAAGCACGAAAGUGUGGGGAUCAAACAGGAUUAGAUACCCUGGUAGUCCACACUGUAAACGAUGAUUACUGGAUGUUUGCCGAGUAAUUGGUGAGCGUCUGAAGCUAAAGCAUUAAGUAAUCCACCU
RNAcentral lists this ribosomal RNA (522 nucleotides) under uncultured bacterium. Its description in RNAcentral is "partial 16S rRNA". It matches the Rfam family "Bacterial small subunit ribosomal RNA", at positions 355 to 874 of the family's 1533-position model. The record is from RNAcentral.